Hippocampus zosterae (dwarf seahorse) is the source of this 1063-nucleotide long non-coding RNA. RefSeq lists it as uncharacterized. Lineage: Eukaryota; Metazoa; Chordata; Actinopteri; Syngnathiformes; Syngnathidae. The transcript has 2 exons. The record is from RefSeq and is a predicted model, not a curated record.
CCUCUCCAAGUGACUUAUUGAAAAUAGCUCUGAAACAAAAAAAUCUUCUUGUCGUCAGUGAGUGUUCAUAAAACUUUCAAACAUAUUGACAGGACUAGCUUUCCAAGCACGAACAAGUCCAGGAAUCACUAGCAACAGUCGGAAGCGUCAAGCAUUUUGUGCACUACUCACAAAAAGCGCCGAAUGUUUGGCCUUCAAGUGACAUUUCUGGAUGAACCCAUCAAAUUACCUCUAAACUUCACUGAUGAAUUAAAUUCGACCACAAAACAUCUGGAUGCACAUGUCAAACUGUUCCAUGUUGGAGUACUUGUUGCGCAACUCAGAUUUUUCCAACAAGAUGCUGCAUGGCAAAAUUCACAGCAGGUGUUUGAGCCGUCAAAAUAUUCCACGUAGGCUCUGCUGUCCACUGCCGUUGUGUGACUCUCCGGUCUCCGUUACUCUCACGUAAUCCGCUGAUGACACUCUUCAACUCAGUCGCCAAUUCCAUAUGAGAACGUCCCAUUUGGUAUCGUUUGGCCUGUCACAAUAACAUCAUAAUCGAUUUUCUCAGAAACUAUCAUGAUCAACGAUAGUGUUAUGCUUUGUUUUAAGCUUGUCCGUUAUAGGUGCAAUUAGCUUUGAAUUCUCAAGGACUUUGAACAGUUGCAUGGAAAUGUAGAACCCCCAAAAAAUACUCGGGUGAAAAAAUAUGAAGAACAAUGAUUCAGCCUUUCAUUAAAAUUAAUACUAAGCACAUUCUCUAGCAACAGUGGCACAAAUAAGGAGAUGUCUUUUAUCUCCUUGUCCAAGGCUGUCAUGGCCCUUGUCAAACACACUACACGACUAUUUUGGCGUUCAUGACGGUCACAAUAUCAGACUAGAGGAUAAAUGGCGUUCUGUGUUUUGGGACCUGGCGAGAUGUCACAUUAAAGUUCAUCGACGACCAGAACCUGCCCAAUUGCUGCGUGCUUCCGUCACGAUUCAGUCCAUCGCCACUUGUCCAUCGAGGAGGUGGGCCAAGCAGCUGUCAGUCAUGACGACGGAGGCAUUCUGUGCAGGUGCCUUUGUUCUCUGCUAAGAAAAG